AAGUGAAGUUAAAAAAGCCAACUAUUUCUAAAAAUGCAUAGAGUUUAAUCAUCGCCCAUCAGCCUCAGAGACGCUGCCAUUAAAUAUUGAUUUUAUUUUUUCGUACCGAUAAAAUUCGGAAUCUUGCCGGUGCAUUUAAAUAGUUAAGUUGGCGCUCAAACGGAGAAGACAUGUAAAAUGAAAGCAGGGGAGUGUCACAAACAUGUAUACACAAGCUUUACGCCAUGCUCAUAAAAAACUCUGCAGCAAGGCGUUAAUUUCUGUACAACACGGCGAUUAUGAAAAUGCCCUUGCCGCAUUGUUUCAAACACCUGGUGUGCUACAAGAACACACUUACUUCAAGUAUUCCUUUGCGACAUAUUAUCAAACAGCAGGCGUGCAAUCCACAUUCAUCUUCUUCUCUGCUCUAUCACUCCUUGUCGUCCAGCAAAAGAGCCAAAAGAUUGUACCCUUAUCUGUUUUGCACUCUUAUUCACCUCUUUCUCUCUUGUCGCCGCCUUUCGAGAGCUAUUCAAGCCUUCGCAGCCAUGAGAAGCCAGAAUGUGGUUCCGGAACUAGCCUCCUGGAAUCGGAUUCUGCGUGAAUUCAAUCACGCUGGAUUGGUGUCUCAGGUUUGGUAUGUUUACUCUGAGAUGAUAUCUUGUGGGGUUUUUCCGAAUGUUGCGACUCGUAAUAUUGUUAUUCAUUCUUUAUGUAAAAUUGGUAGUAUUAGUCUAGCCCUUGAUAUGGUCAGAGAUGAUUAUAGUGAAAGUGAUACUGUUAGUUAUAAUACAGUCAUAUGGGGUUUUUGUAAAAUUGGAAAUGGCAAGUUGGGUUUAGGAUUGUGUUCCGAAAUGGUUAAAAAGGGGAUUCCUUUCGAUUCUUUUACUUGUAAUAUACUUGUUAAGGGUUUUUGUGAGUUGGGUUUGCUGAGAGAUGCAGAGUGGGUUGUGGAUAGAAUGAGAAGGGAAGGGGAUGUUGUGUUUGAUGUUGUUGGUUUUAAUACGUUGAUUUGUGGGUAUUGUAGAGCUGGGGAGGUAAAUUAUGCUCUUGCUCUGAUGAAGAGUGCGAGGAAUGAUGUAUGUCCUGAUAUUGUUACAUAUAAUACUUUGAUAAAUGGGCUGUGCAACAUGGGCGACUUCGAUGGUGCCAAGAGACUUAUUAUUGAGAUGUUUAAGGAUGAAGAAGAAUUAAACACUAAUGUUGAUAAUAAAGUAGAAGAUUUUGUUGUUCGAAGGCUGGGCUUUGAACCCAAUGUUGUAACAUAUACCACACUUAUUGGUAGGUAUAUCGAACAAGAACGGCUUGAUGAAGCACUUUCUGUACAUGAAGACAUGAUAUCGAGUGAAACUUUACCUGAUGUUGUUACUUAUAGUUCUGUAAUGGAUGGCCUUUAUAAGAGCGGGAGAGUUGAGGACGCUGCUUUGCUUUUUGAGGAGAUGAAAAGGAUGGGUGUGGAGCCUAAUUAUGUAACUUACACUGUCCUUUUGGAUUCAUUGUUUAAGAAGGGGAACACACUGGCAGCUCUUAAACUUCAAAGUCAAAUGUUAGUCCGUGGAAUCCCCUUUGACGUUGUUUCACUGACCACUUUGAUGGAUGGGCUGUUUAAGGUUGAAAGGCCCAGUGACGCUGAAAACAUGUUUAAGACUCUCCUAAUGUUCAAUUUAGCUCCAAGCUGUGCCACAUAUACAGCAUUGAUUGACGCACGGUGCAAGGUUGGAGACGUACAGGGUGCUGAGUCUGUGUUACAAGAAAUGGAGCAUAACAAUAUUUUUCCAAAUGUCAUUACAUAUACUUCUAUGAUCUGUGUCUAUCUAAAGAAGGGAGCAGUUGAUGUAGCACUUUAUUACACAAGAAAAAUGGACGACCAAAAUAUAAAGCCUAAUGUUUUUACCUAUGGUGCGCUGGUUGAUUCCUGUUUAAAGCUUGGUAAACAUGAUAUAGCUAUUGAGAUGUAUGAAGAAAUGAAACUAAAGGGCGUGAAGGAAAAUAAUCAUAUACUCAAUGCUUUCAUAAACAAUCUGAAAAGAAAUGGGCAAAUGGACGAGGCUGAUGCAUUCUUUAGAAAUACGACAUCUGUGGGAUUGAUUCCAGAUUGUGUAAGUUACACAUCUCUAAUUGAUGGAUAUUUCAAGGCAGGAAAAGAGUCAGCUGCACUCGACAUUGCUCAAGAGAUGAUGGAGAGAAAUAUAGAGUUUGAUGUUGUUGCAUACAAUGUCCUGAUUAAUGGACUGCUUGGACUUGGAAAGUAUGAAGUUCAGGUUGUGUAUGCUGAAAUGAGACAGCGUGGUCUCAUACCAGAUUGCGCUACAUUUAACACCAUGAUUACUGCUUACUGCAGACAGGGUAAACUGGAAAGUGCUCUGAAUCUUUUGAGCGAGAUGAAUGAAUUUGGUGUGCCGUUUAAUUAUAUUACCUGUAAUACUCUUGUAAAAGGGCUUUGUGAAGCCUCUCAGGUUGAUGAGGCAAUGGAGGUGCUAAGCAAAAUGCAAGGUAUGGGUCUAAAGCCUUCUACCACUGCUCAUAAGAUCAUGUUGGAUGCUGCUUCAAAGAGUAAACGGGCCGAGAGAAUCUUUUCAGUUCAUGAGCAGCUUGUAGGUAUGGGUCUAAAACUCAACCAGACUGUCUAUAAUACCCUUAUAUCCGUCUUUUGUAGGCUAGGGAUGACAAGAAUAGCAACUACAGUGUUAAAUGACAUGAGAGCAAAAGGCUUUGAAGCUGACAUUAUCACCUAUAAUGCCCUGAUACGUGGGUAUUGUGAAAGCACACAAUUAAAAUUGGCAUUCACUAUGUACUACCAGAUUUUAGAUGCAGGAGUUUUCCCGAAUAUCGCAACAUACAAUAAUCUAUUAGCGGGUCUUGCAGCUGCUGGUUUGAUGAAUAAGACUACUGAGUUACUAAAUGAUAUGCAGGGAAAGGGUUUUUUACCUAAUGCUAAUACAUAUAAUAUUUUGGUUUGUGGCCAUGGAAAGAUUGGAAAUAAGAAGGAAUCCAUUAAGCUUUACUGUGAAAUGAUAACAAAAGGUUUCACUCCUCAAACUAGUACAUAUAAUGUGCUAAUUAGUGAUUUUGCUAAGACUGGGAAGAUGAAACAAGCUGGGGAGCUUAUAAAUGAAAUGCAAUUAAGAGGUGUGCGACCUAGUUCUUCAACUUAUGAUAUACUAAUAAGCGGUUACUGCGAGCUAUCUAAUCGAGUGGAUGUGGGCUGGGUGUCGAAGAUAUCAUACAGGACUGAGGCCAAACGUUUGCUCGAGGAGAUGAUUGGAAAAGGUUUCACUCCAUGCAAGACAACUCUUUCUCUAAUUAGCCAUGUUUUUGCCCAGGAAGGGAAGAUGGUUGAUGCCCAGGUGGUGUUGGAUAACUUAUACAAGAGACGUCUGGUAAAUGAGCAAACGAAAAACUUUAAGGAUAGGCGGAGAUGAAUGCUGGAGAGAAGCUAGCAGUGUCAAAAAGAAUCAAAAGGUUAUAGAGCAGAUAAUUCAAGAUCUUAUGGGACUCGGUGAACUCGUUGUUGAAGAAAUCUUCAUCUGAUGGUUUUGAAAGAAUACAUAACAUGACAGCUGAAGCUUUUGCCUUCACUACGGAGUCAAGUGAAGAACUGCAUAAACCAUUUGAGUUUUGUUCGUUCAAGAUUAUAAAGUCCUGGGUUACUUAUGUGAUCAAAUUGCAUUAUCCUGGCAAAAAGUCUUGUUCUGUGACAGCUGAUGCCUCGUUCAAGCUUCUCGUGGAAGAGGAUGACACAAAGAAAUGCAACACAGGUGUUUGACAGAGGUUUGAGUGAAGAGAUGUAGACUACAGAUGGUGAAGAUGUUUGCUGCUGUGGCCGACUAUGGCUGGGCAGAAUGGAUUUUAAGGCUGAUUAUGGGUGCUGGUGGCUGUUGAAGGCUGAUUCAGCAGUGUUAAGUCGGAAAUAAUGACUCUUGAGAGCAUACCCUAUUUUGGUUCCCUAAAAUAUUGUAAAAUAAUGGUUACCUUAUAUAUAGGUAACCAAAAAGUUGUUAUACUCCUGUGGUAUACCAAUACCACUGUAAUCAUCGCUUAUAUUUGAAAAAUAAUAAUUAAUUAGUACUUUUACAUAGGAGGAAGAGAUUAAAAAAGGAGGUAGAGAUAAAAAAAAAGGAAAAUGAGAGGAGAUGAUGUGGAACAUACGGGGAUUGCUUUUAUAUCCCCUAAAUAAGGGGUUCUUUUUUCUGUCACGUAAAACUUUCAGGCAAGGAGGGAAUGGCUGGAAUGGCUUUUUUGAGCUGAACCUGAUUUUUGUUCACACGGGGAGGGAGAUGCUCCUUGAAGUUGCUCUAAAAUCAGUUGAUGCACGACAUAAGUGGGAAAAGGGUAGAACAAAGGUCAAAUAUCUAUCUCCUCAGAGAAUUGUUGGAAUCACUAAUAAAUCCUUAGGGCUUAGAUUAAUCAAACAAAUAUCAAUUAUAUUAUUCAUCUCCGUUUAAUAAUGAAAGAUUACAAACAAAUCAUUACUUGGAAGAUGAUAUGGGCCGAACAUUACCAUGGACAUGUAAUCAUUACUUGAGAAAUUUCGUAGUCCCCUGAUGAGCUUAAGAUAGUUAUUCAACUGCCAGAGAGUUGUCAGAGAUGAUAACGUCCAUCAAUUCUCCCAU
This is an RNA transcript of Daucus carota subsp. sativus, 4592 nucleotides long. It is a transcript of the gene named respiratory burst oxidase homolog protein B, with no coding region annotated. The record is from RefSeq and is a predicted model, not a curated record. The transcript is spliced from 3 exons. NCBI's taxonomy places the organism in Eukaryota, Viridiplantae, Streptophyta, Magnoliopsida, Apiales, Apiaceae.